GAGAGGGAGAGAGAGAGAGAGAUUGUAAGAUUAUGAACUAACUGAUGCUAAAAUAUUCACAAGCGUAUAAACAAAAAUUAAAUCACUAAUUGCACAGCACAAGAAUCAUGACAAUGAGGAUAGAAAUGUCGUUCUUUCCUAUGAAAAACGGCACAGUCAACACUAAGCAACCUGGAUACAAAACUACAAUCUCAUAUGAACAUGUUACAUUACAAGGGAAGCAUCUCUAGAAACAGAGCAGAUUGAACCAUAAUAAUCUACCUAUCUUUUUGGGGGGAAAAAUUCCAACAGUAAAAUAAAUUUCCUUGUCCUCUAUAUGCAAACAUGAAAAUGCAGCCAUGCACACCUAAAAUCAAAACAGUACUGUCACCAGUUCCAAAGAAGACUUUCAUUAAGACCAAGAGAUGACACAAAAUGGUGAGGUGCAUAUCUUUUAAAGAACAUGUAAAAUAAGUAGCCAAAAAUAGACAUUUGAUAAGUACCUCUGUCUCCAUUUUCAGGGAUG
Molecule: unclassified non-coding RNA, 505 nt
Filed under: Hevea brasiliensis (rubber tree)
Lineage: Eukaryota; Viridiplantae; Streptophyta; Magnoliopsida; Malpighiales; Euphorbiaceae
Source: RNAcentral